RNAcentral lists this unclassified non-coding RNA (18 nucleotides) under synthetic construct. The record is from RNAcentral.
AACGAUUUUAUGGACCCA